RNA transcript from Xyrauchen texanus (razorback sucker), 2045 nucleotides. It is a transcript of the gene named G1/S-specific cyclin-E1-like, with no coding region annotated. NCBI's taxonomy places the organism in Eukaryota, Metazoa, Chordata, Actinopteri, Cypriniformes, Catostomidae. The record is from RefSeq and is a predicted model, not a curated record. The transcript has 11 exons.
UGAGUGCGGAACACAACACAUCAGAACCAUAUGCCGCCUACAUACACACAAUUAGAUCAGUUUUACUUAAUAAUGCCUGUGUAACACCAUCCUAUCUCUUGCAUCCGAGAAGUAAUUGCAGAGAGCAUCAUAUUAAGGCUCUCUACACUCAAGAGAGACACACGUGUGGCUAUCAUGCCAAGCAAGAACGCGCUACAAACAGAACAGAUUAGCAAUAGAGAUGAAGCUUCUAAAGUCGUUUCAGUCCGCCCCAGGAAGAGGAAAGCAGACGUGGCUAUUCACUUGCAAGAUCCAGAUGAAGAAGUCACUGGGAUGACUAGAAAGAAACCUUGUGCAUCUCAGGCCUGCUGGAAUCCUGACACAGGUUACACAAGCCCAUGCAGGCGGAUCCCCACACCUGAUGAAGUUGAGGAACCGGUUGCUGCUCGCAGCGUGGGAUUCACACAGUAUUCCUCAGAAGACUUUUUCAUAACUCCCACACGCUCUACCCCUCUGCCUGCCCUCUGCUGGGCGAGCAAAGAUGAUGUGUGGAACAACUUGCUUAGAAAGGACAAACUGUACCUGCGAGAUACACAAGUUAUGAAGAGACAUCCAAAUCUUCAACCCAAAAUGAGAGAAAUUCUACUGGAUUGGCUAAUGGAGGUUUGUGAGGUGUAUAAAUUACACAGAGAAACAUUUUACUUGGGUCAGGAUUACUUUGAUCGUUUCAUGGCCACACAAGAGAAUGUUCUUAAAAUGACACUACAGCUUAUUGGCAUCUCCUGUCUCUUCAUCGGUGCCAAAAUGGAGGAAAUUUACCCUCCCAAGGUGCACCAGUUUGCUUAUGUAACUGAUGGAGCCUGCACAGAGGAUGACAUUCUUAGCAUGGAGAUUAUCAUCAUGAAGGAGUUAAAUUGGAGUUUAAGCCCUUUAACCUCAGUGGCUUGGCUCAACAUCUACAUGCAGAUGGCCUAUCUGAAGGAGAAUACUGAAGUUCUCAUGGCCCAGUACCCACAGGCAACAUUUGUACAGAUUGCAGAGCUCUUGGAUCUGUGUAUACUGGAUGUAAAAAGUCUGGAGUUCUCCUACAGCCUACUUGCUGCAUCUGCACUCUACCACUUCUCCUCUUUGGAACUAGUAAUGAAAGUGUCGGGUAUGAUAGAAAAGAAAACAGCAUUUAUUACAUGAAAGUAUAUGUUCUGUUGGUGUGAAUCCCAAAACAAUGGCUUAAAGGAGGAGGGUGUGGCCGGGCCGUAAAUGUGCACGGCCGAUUCUGAAUCAGCUGAUCAGUGGGAGAGAGAAAGGGGAGGCGUCAGUUCAAGAGAGAGAGAGAGAGAGACGCAUACGGUCGCACUGCAUGUGUGUGUUCGUUUAUGUUGUUAUGCAAGUUCAUUUAGAUCAUACAAUUUUACGUUGACUUUUCAGCCAGGUACCGCUUCCUUGCACGUCCUUAAUACUGUUCCAGUGGUGCUGAAAUCCGGGAGGGAUGGAGGAUGCGCUGUCGCAGUGUCCUCGCCACUGCUAUCCGGCAGGGGGGCAGCCAUGCCCGUCUGCCAGAGGGCGGAGGCAUGGUUGAGGACCGGGCGACAGUGAGUCUGGAAGCCGGCGAGCAAGUGUUCUCUCUCUCUCUCUCUCUCUCUCUCUGUCUGUCUGUCUGUCUGUGUUUCCGCUCACCCUUUCCCUCUCCCCAUGCCUUCCCUCGUCUCUCCCCCAGGUUCACAGGAGGUGGGUUGGACCACCGGCUGACAGAAUGGCCAGAGGGGCAGUGUCUUCCCUCCAGAGAUGGGGUGGGAGUUAGUCAGACCGGUGGCGCCCUGACCUGAAUCAGGCUGGGAAGGAGUUUGACAAGGAGAAGGGUGUGGCCAGGCCAUAAUGGUGCAUGGCCAGCACUGAAUCAGUGGGAGAGCAAGAUGAAGGGGAGCCGGAAGCGCCAGUUUAAGAGCGAGUCGCACGUGUCCGUGUUGCAUGUCUAAAAUGGUGUGAUUUGGAGGAAUGUGUAAGAUGGAUGGUUCCUUUCGCCAUGUCAAUCUGUGAGGCGGGUAGCUCAACCCUCAAGACAUUUAAAG